UGCUGACUGUCUUGCUAACCUGACUGUCCU
RNAcentral lists this non-coding RNA (30 nucleotides) under Rattus norvegicus (Norway rat). The record is from RNAcentral. Lineage: Eukaryota; Metazoa; Chordata; Mammalia; Rodentia; Muridae.